RNAcentral lists this long non-coding RNA (339 nucleotides) under Mustela putorius furo (domestic ferret). RNAcentral's name for it is "lncRNA (ENSMPUG00000026699.1)". The record is from RNAcentral. Lineage: Eukaryota; Metazoa; Chordata; Mammalia; Carnivora; Mustelidae.
UUGAAACUCUUUAUACUUAGCUGCUUGUGCCAGAAUCCCACCCCCCUGCCCAAUUUUUAGCAAGGCGGCGGGGAGCAUAAAAUUGGCACCAGCUGGAAAGAAGAAGAAAGAAAAAAUGGUGGUGCCCACUGGCUUCCCUCUCGGAGCAUGUCCACAGGCCCUGACCCUCAAGCCAACGCUUUAAGGUCUACACCAAAUAGAACGCUUUGUCCUGUCUUCAGCACCAUGCCCAAUGGUUCCCAUGAUCAUCCUGCGAAGAGCCUGUGAAAAGGGAAAACUCUGCUUCAUGUUUGGAAUCAAUGGGGUGAUAUCUAUGGGACAGAGCAUGAUAAACAAAUU